Molecule: ribosomal RNA, 282 nt
Filed under: uncultured Staphylococcus sp.
Lineage: Bacteria; Bacillati; Bacillota; Bacilli; Caryophanales; Staphylococcaceae
Description: partial 16S ribosomal RNA
Rfam family: Bacterial small subunit ribosomal RNA
Source: RNAcentral
CUCCUUUGACGUUAGCGGCGGACGGGUGAGUAACACGUGGGUAACCUACCUAUAAGACUGGGAUAACUUCGGGAAACCGGAGCUAAUACCGGAUAAUAUUUCGAACCGCAUGGUUCGAUAGUGAAAGGUGGUUUUGCUAUCACUUAUAGAUGGACCCGCGCCGUAUUAGCUAGUUGGUAAGGUAACGGCUUACCAAGGCGACGAUACGUAGCCGACCUGAGAGGGUGAUCGGCCACACUGGAACUGAGACACGGUCCAGACUCCUACGGGAGGCAGCAGUAU